CCUCAUAUAGAGAGGGUUGCGCAGCUUGGAGAGGACCCCCGUUCCUAGCUUCAUCUUCACAAAAAAAUGCCCCCACCUGAUUUCUCAUCUUCACCCCACACAUACAGUCAUACGUUGGAGAUUCACCUUCAUAGACUUUAGGUAUCGCACGUCCUUCACUCACUGUGGAAGAGAACCAAAAUGAAUUCGAAUUGCAUUUUGGAUCUGAAAACAUAACACUUCAAAGACUGACAACAAGGAUAGAAACAAAUAGGAAUUUUGCGAUUUCAAGAGGAUUUUGUUGAUUCAUAUGGUUUUCGAGUAAAGUUCAGUCCAUCGAUGUCGAUUUGAGUUCAUUGUUGAGUUUUGGUCGCGGUUUCUGCUGAAUAUCGAUUUUUCGCAGUUGUUAUUCAUAUCUAGUGUGUCGCCAAGUCUUAUUCUGCUUGUAAUCAUUUCAAACAAUUUAAUCAAAAGAAUUUUCUGACAUUCUCAUGGUAUAUUGAUUAUCGGGGUUGGAUGAAUACGAGUCGAAGUUUUGUUCGAGGUGUGGUUUAUUGUUCUGAUUCUGAUUUGCGAUUCCAAGCUCAAAUGUCACUGAGAAUUAUGGGCAGGAAUCAUCGAGUUGUUUAACCUUUUUGUGGUUAAAUUUUUUUAUCAAUUUAAGCCAAGAACCAUUCGAGAAGACGAGUCAAUAUCCGGCUAUAAUUAUUGCUUUAUUUCAGUUCGUAUAAAUUGCAGGUUCAUUUUUAUUUUAUUGGUUUCUCCCUUUUAGAUUUAUUGAGUUUAUCUGAAUUUUUGGUAUUAGUUUGUCAUUGCACCUUUGUCGCUGGUUCAUUUUGCAGAUGAGACUCUUACUUCGAGUGCUUGUUUCAAUGUGUAUUUGCAUUGAUCCGUGGCCUAGGAUUGCAAGUGUAUGCUAAUGCCAUCGCGACGAAGAGUCUUUGAAUAGUUUGAGAUGCCCUUUUCGAUGACUGAUUUAAAUUUUUUUUAUCAGAUAGCAUGUCUUAUUAAGAGUUACAUUAUUAGUUUGUUUUGCUGGCUGGUGGGUUUUAGCUAUAUUUUUGUUUGUUGUUGCUUCUUCACAGCCGUAAAUGAUUCUCUGUUGAACCUACUCUAUUGAAUUUUGAUCAUCUUUUCAGCAUUUAUUUGGUUUUCCUAGACUGUUUUGUCAUUGAUUGAGGUACAUUAUCUAGACACCAUAGCGUUAGGAAAAUGGUUUGUUCAUUUGUGUUCGUCUAAUGAUAUAGUUUGGUUGGAUCGAUUAGCAAUGAAUCAUGCCUUUGUAGCUACUGUUCAACAAAAUUUUGGAAUCCGUUACUAGCUUUGGGAGACUUUACUCAUUUU
Molecule: long non-coding RNA, 1323 nt
Filed under: Nicotiana benthamiana
Lineage: Eukaryota; Viridiplantae; Streptophyta; Magnoliopsida; Solanales; Solanaceae
Description: long non-coding RNA (NBEN_LNC024437)
Source: RNAcentral